Molecule: ribosomal RNA, 3277 nt
Filed under: Deltaproteobacteria bacterium
Lineage: Bacteria; Pseudomonadati; Myxococcota; Myxococcia
Description: 23S ribosomal RNA
Rfam family: Bacterial large subunit ribosomal RNA
Source: RNAcentral
GACCAAGCUACAAAGGGCACACGAUGGAUGCCUAGGCGACAGGAGGCGAAGAAGGACGUGGGUAGCUGCGAAAAGCGUCGGGGAGCCGCUAACCAGGCUUUGAUCCGGCGAUGUCCGAAUGGGGAAACCCACGGCGGGUAAUGCCGCCGUACCACGAGCUGAAUCCAUAGGCUCGAUGGAGCGAACCGAGGGAAGUGAAACAUCUCAGUACCUCGAGGAAAAGAAAGCAAACGCGAUUCCGCGAGUAGUGGCGAGCGAAAGCGGAACAGGCCAAACCGCCGGAGGAAACUCCGUCGGGGUAGUGGGACCGCAUUUAGGACCAGUCCUCUGUAGACGAGCCGUCUGGAAAGGCGGGCCACAGAGGGUGAGAGCCCCGUAGUCGAAACGGGGGACUGGCCGAGCGGUAAUCCCAAGUAAGGCGGGACACGUGCAAUCCUGCCUGAAUCUGCGGGGACCAUCCCGUAAGCCUGAAUACUCCCUGUCGACCGAUAGUGAACCAGUACCGCGAGGGAAAGGUGAAAAGAACCCCGGUGAGGGGAGUCCAAAGAACCUGAAAUCGUGUGCCUACAAGCAGGGAGAGGGCUAUGCCCGCAAGGGAAUGCCUGAUUCCGUACCUUUUGCAUCAUGAAUCGGCGACUUAAUGUACGUGGCGAGGUUAAGCCGUGAAGGCGGAGCCGCAGCGAAAGCGAGUCUGAACAGGGCGACGAGUCGCGUGCAUUAUAACCCGAAGCCAGGUGAUCUAUCCAUGGCCAGGCUGAAGCGUGGGUAAAACUACGUGGAGGGCCGAACUAAAUGGAGGUUGAAAACUCCUGAGAUGAGCUGUGGAUAGGGGUGAAAGGCCAAUCAAACCUGGUGAUAGCUGGUUCUCCCCGAAAGAUAUUUAGGUAUCGCCUGAGGAAACUCUGUUGCGGAGGUAGAGCACUGGAACGGCUAGGGGUCCUACCAGAUUACCAAACCGUACCAAACUCCGAAUACCGCAAACAGUUACCCUCGGAGGCAGUGCACGGGUGAUAACAUCCGCGCGCGAGAGGGAUACACCCCAGACCGACAGCCAAGGUCCCAAAGUCGAUGCUAAGUGGGAAAGGAUGUGGCAGGGCUCAGACAACUAGGAGGUUGGCUUAGAAGCAGCCAUCCUUUGAAGAAAGCGUAAUAGCUCACUAGUCAAGCCAGGCCGCGCCGAAAAUGAAACGGGGCUCAAGCAUCGUACCGAAGCUUCGGAUUGCUCGACCUCUUCGGAGGUGGAGCAGUGGUAGGGGAGCAUCGCAGCGCCGUCGAAGCCAUACCGGAAGGAGUGGUGGAGGUUCUGCGAGAGCUGAUGCCGAUAUGAGUAGCGUUAAAACGGGUGAGAAACCCGUUCGCCGUAAGCCCAAGGUUUCCCGGGGGAGGUUAAUCCGCCCGGGGUUAGUCGGGCCCUAAGCCGAGGCCGAAAGGCGUAGGCGAUGGAGAACAGGUUAAUAUUCCUGUACCACCUCAUGGCGUCGAAGCCGGGGGGACGGAGAAAGCUAGGUUGGCCUCCUGACGGACAUGGAGGUUCAAGGGCGUAGGCUGCCCCCGAGGAAAGUGCAACUUGGGGGCACAAGGCCGAGACCCGACGUCGUGGCCGUAUGGCCUGAAGCAACCGACGCUCAGCUUCCAAGAAAAUCCCCGCAUUCAGUGGAGCCAUGUGGUGCCCGUACCGCAAACCGACUCAGGUGGGCGAGGAGAAAAUCCUCAGGCGCUUGAGAGAACUCUGGCCAAGGAACUCGGCAAAUUUCCACCGUAACUUCGGAAGAAGGUGGGCCGCGUUUGGUGAAGGGACUUGCUCCCGGAGCCUUACACGGUCGCAGAGAAACGGCGGUAGCGACUGUUUACCAAAAACACAGGACUCUGCUAACUCGAAAGAGGAAGUAUAGGGUCUGACGCCUGCCCGGUGCCGGAAGGUUAAGGGGAUUCGUCAGGGGGGUUAAACCCCCGAAGCGAUGAGCCGAAGCCCCGGUAAACGGCGGCCGUAACUAUAGACAUGGACCACUGUAGUUGUAAAAUCUGGCUAUAUGCUGGAACACCCGGUUGAAGCGAGAGUACUCGUCGCUGGGCGCGUAGUUGGCGCCGAAGAAGGCGGCAGUGAAAAUCUCCCGCGGACGGGCAAUCAGCAGGAAAGGUCUCGAACAUGCUUCAAGUUCGAGAAAUCCUCAGAGACUGCACGCCAGACCGUUCCGGAUGCGGAACGGAUGAUACAGUCCGAUCUGCAUGGCAACAUGCAGAGCGCGGCAGAAAUGACCGCGCCCGGCGAGAAAUCGUCGAGCAACAACGAUGAACGGUCCUAAGGUAGCGAAAUUCCUUGUCGGGUAAGUUCCGACCUGCACGAAUGGCGUAACGACUUCCGCACUGUCUCGGCCAGGGACUCAGCGAAAUUGAAAUAGCUGUGAAGAUGCAGUUUACCCGCAGCAAGACGGAAAGACCCCGUGAACCUUUACUCUAACUUGCCAGUGACACUAGGACUUGAUUGUGUAGGAUAGGUGGGAGCCUUUGAAGCCUGGGCGCUAGCUCAGGUGGAGGCAACGGUGAAAUACCACCCUGUUGAGUCUUGGUGUCUAACCUGGUCCCGUGAUCCGGGACGGGGACACUGGCUGGUGGGGAGUUUGACUGGGGCGGUCGCCUCCCAAAAUGUAACGGAGGCGCGCGAAGGUUCCCUCAGGCUGAUUGGAAACCAGCCGACGAGUGCAAUGGCACAAGGGAGCUUGACUGCGAGACCGACGGGUCGAGCAGGUGGGAAACCAGGUCAUAGUGAUCCGGUGGUUCUGUAUGGAAGGGCCAUCGCUCAACGGAUAAAAGGUACUCCGGGGAUAACAGGCUUAUCACGCCCAAGAGUUCACAUCGACGGCGUGGUUUGGCACCUCGAUGUCGGCUCAUCGCAUCCUGGGGCUGGAGCAGGUCCCAAGGGUUUGGCUGUUCGCCAAUUAAAGCGGUACGCGAGCUGGGUUCAAAACGUCGUGAGACAGUUUGGUCCCUAUCUGCUGUGGGCGUAGGAGGCUUGAGGGGUCCCGACCUUAGUACGAGAGGACCGGGUUGGACGGACCGCCUGUGUACCAGUUGUCACGCCAGUGGCACCGCUGGGUAGCAGUGUCCGGAUCUGAUAACCGCUGAAAGCAUCUAAGCGGGAAGCAGACCUCAAGACUAGGCCUCCCGGGGCGUAAGCCCCCUGAAGAGCCGUCGAAGACGACGACGUUGAUAGGUCGGAGGUGUAAGCGCGGCAACGCGUUGAGCUGACCGAUACUAAUCGCUCGUGCGGCUUGGUCGU